Molecule: small RNA, 28 nt
Filed under: Bombyx mori (domestic silkworm)
Lineage: Eukaryota; Metazoa; Arthropoda; Insecta; Lepidoptera; Bombycidae
Description: ovarian small RNA-37922
Source: RNAcentral
UUGCUGACUAUAUACAAAUAAUGUUUGU